This 256-nucleotide long non-coding RNA is filed under the name Elaeis guineensis (African oil palm). RNAcentral describes it as "long non-coding RNA (EGUI_LNC041755)". The record is from RNAcentral. Lineage: Eukaryota; Viridiplantae; Streptophyta; Magnoliopsida; Arecales; Arecaceae.
UUUUUUUUGGCAAACCUAGAAUCCUUUUGGUUGCAUAAUUAAUCAAAAGUUAUGGCAUUUAAGAGACCGUUUCUAUACUAAUCAAAAGUUAUGGUAUUUUAAAGACCAUUUCCAUAUAACAUCAGACUUUUCUCUUUUAUAAUCUUCUAAAAUGGCAAGAUGUGGUGAGGAAGGAGUGUGAGCAUGGUGGUUUGUGAUGUAUUAUAGAAAGAGGGGUUGAUGGUGAUGAGAAGGGGAGGAGGAAAGGAAGAACAGU